Molecule: ribosomal RNA, 303 nt
Filed under: uncultured bacterium
Lineage: Bacteria
Description: partial 16S ribosomal RNA
Rfam family: Bacterial small subunit ribosomal RNA
Source: RNAcentral
AGCAGUCGCCGCGGUAACACAGAGGGUGCGAGCGUUAAUCGGAUUUACUGGGCGUAAAGCGUGCGUAGGCGGCUUUUUAAGUCGGAUGUGAAAUCCCUGAGCUUAACUUAGGAAUUGCAUUCGAUACUGGGAAGCUAGAGUAUGGGAGAGGAUGGUAGAAUUCCAGGUGUAGCGGUGAAAUGCGUAGAGAUCUGGAGGAAUACCGAUGGCGAAGGCAGCCAUCUGGCCUAAUACUGACGCUGAGGUACGAAAGCAUGGGGAGCAAACAGGAUUAGAUACCCCCGUAGUCCCUGUCUCUUAUAC